Non-coding RNA from Schistosoma rodhaini, 38 nucleotides. NCBI's taxonomy places the organism in Eukaryota, Metazoa, Platyhelminthes, Trematoda, Strigeidida, Schistosomatidae. The record is from Rfam.
UGCUGAGGAGUCCCACAAUAGGACGAAACGGCUGUCCA